This 296-nucleotide ribosomal RNA is filed under the name uncultured bacterium. Its description in RNAcentral is "partial 16S ribosomal RNA". It matches the Rfam family "Bacterial small subunit ribosomal RNA", at positions 29 to 306 of the family's 1533-position model. The record is from RNAcentral.
AGCGAACGUUAGCGGCGGGCUUAACACAUGCAAGUCGCACGAGAACGAGGGGGCAACUCCUCUAGUAAAGUGGCGCACGGGUGCGUAACACGUAGGUGAACUACCCUCCGAUGGGGGACAACCGGCCGAAAGGCUGGCUAAUACCGCGUAAGUCAACGGGGCAUUCGGGCUCUGUUGGGAAAGCGGCCCUCUUCACGAAAGGUCGCGUCGGAGGUUGUGCCUGCGGCCCAUCAGCUAGUUGGUGAGGAAUGGCUCACCAAGGCUAAGACGGGUAGCUGGUCUGAGAGGAUGGAUCA